This 460-nucleotide ribosomal RNA is filed under the name uncultured bacterium. RNAcentral describes it as "partial 16S ribosomal RNA". It matches the Rfam family "Bacterial small subunit ribosomal RNA", at positions 338 to 795 of the family's 1533-position model. The record is from RNAcentral.
CCUACGGGAGGCUGCAGUGAGGAAUAUUGGUCAAUGGGCGCGAGCCUGAACCAGCCAAGUCGCGUGAGGGAGGACGGCCCUACGGGUUGUAAACCUCUUUUGCCGGGGAGCAACGGGCGUCACGUGUGGCGCCACUGAGAGUACCCGGAGAAAAAGCAUCGGCUAACUCCGUGCCAGCAGCCGCGGUAAUACGGGGGAUGCGAGCGUUAUCCGGCUUUAUUGGGUUUAAAGGGUGCGUGGGCGGAUCGUUAAGCCAGUGGUAAAAUUGAGGGGCUAAACCCCUUCCCGCCAUUGAAACUGGCGCUCUUGAGUGGAAGAGAGGUAUGCGGAAUGCGUGGUGUAGCGGUGAAAUGCAUAGAGAUCACGCAGAACCCCGAUUGCGAAGGCAGCAUGCUGGCUUCCGACUGACGCUGAAGCACGAAAGCGUGGGGAUCGAACAGGAUUAGAUACCCCGGUAGUC